CUAGCGUUGUUCGGAAUUACUGGGCGUAAAGCGCGUGUAGGCGGUUAUCCACGUCAGGUGGGAAAGCCUUGAGCUCAACUCAAGAAAUGCACUUGGUACUGGGUGACUAGAGGACCGGAGAGGAUAGUGGAAUUCCCAGUGUAGUGGUGAAAUACGUAGAGAUUGGGAAGAACACCAGUGGCGAAGGCGGCUAUCUGGACGGUUUCUGACGCUAAGACGCGAAAGCGUGGGGAGCAAACAGG
RNAcentral lists this ribosomal RNA (242 nucleotides) under uncultured bacterium. RNAcentral's name for it is "partial 16S ribosomal RNA". It matches the Rfam family "Bacterial small subunit ribosomal RNA", at positions 535 to 776 of the family's 1533-position model. The record is from RNAcentral.